UACGUAGGUGGCAAGCGUUGUCCGGAUUUACUGGGCGUAAAGAGCGCGCAGGCGGUCGUUCAAGUCGCGUGUGAAAGCCCCCGGCUCAACUGGGGAGGGUCACGCGAUACUGAUCGACUCGAAGGCAGGAGAGGGUAGUGGAAUUCCCGGUGUAGUGGUGAAAUGCGUAGAUAUCGGGAGGAACACCAGUGGCGAAGGCGACUACCUGGCCCGAAACUGACGCUCAUGCACGACAGCGUGGGGAUCAAACAGG
RNAcentral lists this ribosomal RNA (253 nucleotides) under uncultured bacterium. RNAcentral describes it as "partial 16S ribosomal RNA". It matches the Rfam family "Bacterial small subunit ribosomal RNA", at positions 524 to 776 of the family's 1533-position model. The record is from RNAcentral.